AACGGUAGGUCAGCAUGCCCCGAAUUAUCCGGGCUACACGCGGGCUACAAUGGUCAGGACAAUGGGUAUCGACACCGAGAGGUGAGGCAAUCUCCUAAACCUGUCCUUAGUUCGGAUUGUGGGCUGCAACUCGCCCACAUGAAGCUGGAAUCCGUAGUAAUCGCGUUUCAAAAUAGCGCGGUGAAUAUGUCCCUGCUUCUU
This 201-nucleotide ribosomal RNA is filed under the name uncultured Methanolinea sp. RNAcentral describes it as "partial 16S ribosomal RNA". It matches the Rfam family "Archaeal small subunit ribosomal RNA", at positions 1137 to 1338 of the family's 1478-position model. Lineage: Archaea; Methanobacteriati; Methanobacteriota; Methanomicrobia; Methanomicrobiales; Methanoregulaceae. The record is from RNAcentral.